This 72-nucleotide transfer RNA is filed under the name Merluccius polli (Benguela hake). It matches the Rfam family "tRNA". From Rfam's summary of the family: Transfer RNA (tRNA) molecules are approximately 80 nucleotides in length. Their secondary structure includes four short double-helical elements and three loops (D, anti-codon, and T loops). Further hydrogen bonds mediate the characteristic L-shaped molecular structure. tRNAs have two regions of fundamental functional importance: the anti-codon, which is responsible for specific mRNA codon recognition, and the 3' end, to which the tRNAs corresponding amino acid is attached (by aminoacyl-tRNA synthetases). tRNAs cope with the degeneracy of the genetic code in two manners: having more than one tRNA (with a specific anti-codon) for a particular amino acid; and 'wobble' base-pairing, i.e. permitting non-standard base-pairing at the 3rd anti-codon position. Lineage: Eukaryota; Metazoa; Chordata; Actinopteri; Gadiformes; Merlucciidae. The record is from Rfam by way of RNAcentral.
GCCGAAAUAGCUCAGUUGGGAGAGCGUUAGACUGAAGAUCUAAAGGUCCCAGGUUCGAUCCUGGUUUCGGCA